RNAcentral lists this small RNA (134 nucleotides) under Salmonella enterica subsp. enterica serovar Paratyphi B var. L(+) tartrate +. RNAcentral's name for it is "RtT sRNA". It matches the Rfam family "RtT RNA". From Rfam's summary of the family: This family represents a bacterial cis-regulatory element known as RtT RNA. The exact function of RtT is unknown although it is thought that it may be involved in changing the cellular response in relation to amino acid starvation. Lineage: Bacteria; Pseudomonadati; Pseudomonadota; Gammaproteobacteria; Enterobacterales; Enterobacteriaceae. The record is from RNAcentral.
UGUAUCUGAAGCCUGACGAGGAUGAGAACCUCCGGGGGUAAGAGGUUCGACUCGAGCGAAGCGAGAGAACGUUGCGCCAGCAACGGCCCGCAGAGUGAGCCACGCAGUGGCGAGUCAUCCUCUAUCACCGACCA